RNAcentral lists this unclassified non-coding RNA (511 nucleotides) under uncultured Glomus. RNAcentral's name for it is "SSU rRNA". It matches the Rfam family "Eukaryotic small subunit ribosomal RNA", at positions 569 to 1083 of the family's 1831-position model. Lineage: Eukaryota; Fungi; Glomeromycota; Glomeromycetes; Glomerales; Glomeraceae. The record is from RNAcentral.
AGCAGCCGCGGUAAUUCCAGCUCCAAUAGCGUAUAUUAAAGUUGUUGCAGUUAAAAAGCUCGUAGUUGAAUUUCGGGAUCGAAGGAUCGGUCAUGCCUUGGUAUGUACUGGUUUUAUUGGUUCUCACCUUCUAAAGAACCAUAAUGUCAUUCAUUUGAUGUUAUGGGGAAUUAGGACUGUUACCUUGAAAAAUUAGAGUGUUUAAAGCAGGCUUACGCUUGAAUACAUUAGCAUGGAAUAAUGAAAUAGGACAUCAGAUUCUAUUUUGUUGGUUUCUAGGAUCGAUGUAAUGAUUAAUAGGGAUAGUUGGGGGCAUUAGUAUUCAAUUGUCAGAGGUGAAAUUCUUGGAUUUAUUGAAGACUAACUACUGCGAAAGCAUUUGCCAAGGAUGUUUUCAUUAAUCAAGAACGAAAGUUAGGGGAUCGAAGACGAUCAGAUACCGUCGUAGUCUUAACCAUAAACUAUGCCGACUAGGGAUCGGAUGAUGUUAAUUUAUAAUGACUCAUUACGG